AGUGGAAUUGCUGAGUCAUAUGGUAAGUGUAUGUUAAACUUUUUAAGAAACUGCCAAAUUGUUUUCCAAAGUAGCUACACCAUUUAUGUUCUCACCAACAAU
RNAcentral lists this microRNA precursor (102 nucleotides) under Marmota monax (woodchuck). It matches the Rfam family "mir-562 microRNA precursor family". Lineage: Eukaryota; Metazoa; Chordata; Mammalia; Rodentia; Sciuridae. The record is from RNAcentral.